This 587-nucleotide ribosomal RNA is filed under the name uncultured Funneliformis. RNAcentral's name for it is "LSU rRNA". It matches the Rfam family "Eukaryotic large subunit ribosomal RNA", at positions 204 to 637 of the family's 3401-position model. The record is from RNAcentral. Lineage: Eukaryota; Fungi; Glomeromycota; Glomeromycetes; Glomerales; Glomeraceae.
CAUGGAGGGUGAGAAUCCCGUUCAUGGUUAAUCUUAAGGAUGCUCUACGAUACGUUCUCCAAGAGUCGAGUUGUUUGGGAUUGCAGCUCAAAAUGGGAGGUAAAUUUCUCCUAAGGCUAAAUAUUGGCGAGAGACCGAUAGCGAACAAGUACCGUGAGGGAAAGAUGAAAAGAACUUUGAAAAGAGAGUUAAACAGUACGUGAAAUUGUUGAAAGGGAAACGAUUGAAGUCAGUCAUACUAACGGGAAAUCAACCUCUUGAGUUUGGUCUCGUGGGUUUCGAAGAGUUUAAAAGCCUUCGGAUUUUCGAGAUUGGGCUCUUCUGGUGUACUUUCUCGUACGGUUAGUCAACAUCGGUUUUGAAUGUCAUAAAAUGACUGGAGGAAUGUGGCUUCGAUCUCGUAUUGAAGUGUUAUAACCUUUGGUAGAUGUGAUGUUUGAGACCGAGGAUUGCAACGGAUACCCUUCUGGGCUAUUCGUCUGAUCUCUGAAACGUUGCCUUGAUGUCGAAAGCUUGCUUAUGAUGUUAGGGUAUUACGGUCAAAAGGUUAGAACGGAUUACAUUCGUUAAGGAUGUUGACGUAAUGG